UUCUGUUCUUUGUCUUUUUUUUUUUUAACUUACACAUGUUUUUCUUUGGGUUUUUUUUUUUUUAAGAAACCCUAGAAAAGAUUAAGCUUUGGGGUUUUAUUCUGCCCGUUUCAAUUGGGGUUUUUUGAGUUUAAUAAUUUUCAAUUAGGGUUACUAGGAUUUUACUCCAUCUGGGAAUUUUCGGGUUUCUGCUGUGUUUAAGGUUUAUAGGGGUUUUCACUAUCUAUUUCCUGUGGUACAAUAUUUAUAGGGUUUUAGGGUUAGGGUUUCUACUGUUCUUAAGCAAUUAGGGUUUUUUUUUUUUGUGCAAAUUGUGGUAAUUCGUGUUUUGGUAUAAUUGGGAAUUUUAUUGGUUUGGUUUUUUUUUGGUUUCAGUAGCUAGGGUUUUGGGAGCUAGGGUUUAGCAGAAUAUGGAAUCCGAUCAAGGCAAACUCUUUGUGGGAGGCAUAUCUCGGGAGACAACUGAAGCUACUCUCAAGGAUCAUUUCAGCAAAUACGGCAACGUUGUGAGCUCAGUUGUAGCUAAAGACAGGAACACCAAAAGCCCUCGUGGUUUUGGCUUUGUUUUGUUCUCUGAACCUUCUUCAGCUGAUAAAGCUCUUCAAGACACCCAUGUUAUUCUUGGGAGAACGGUAGAAGUGAAAAAAGCGAUACCCCGAAGUGAACAACACCAAAACCAACAGCAACAGCAGCAACCACACCACAAUCCGAAUCAACAACUGAAUAGUGGGUUCAGUAGGAAUGGUUGUGAAGCUGCUGACAGCAACAAUCACUUUAGGACUAAAAAAAUUUUUGUAGGGGGUUUAUCUGCUAGUCUAACUGAGGACGAGUUUAAGAAUUACUUUGAAAGAUUUGGUAGAAUAACAGAUGUCGUUGUGAUGCAUGACAGCUCGACUAACCGACCUAGAGGAUUUGGGUUUGUUACCUUUGAAUCAGAGGAGUCUGUGGAGAAUGUUAUGCAGAAGAAUUUUCAUGAGUUGAAUAAUAGGCUUGUGGAGGUCAAGCGUGCAGUGCCAAAAGAGGGAAAUAAUGGCAGUAACGGUAAUUAUAACAUGAAGACUGGUGUUGGAAGGGGAUCUCCUUAUAAUGGUUUUCAGCCUGCUGAGUACUCUUCCAGUAGUCCUGGAUAUGGAAUAUUUCCCGGUUAUGGUCCUCUUCUUGGGUAUAAUACCGUUGGGGGAUAUGUUUAUGGAACUGGUGUUUAUGGCAGUGGGUACCCGACAGUAGGCUAUGAAAGGGUUGGUUAUGGUGUCUCUCCAGUUACCCCUAGGGGCCCUUUGUAUGCCCCUGUAAUGCUUGGAGCAAGAGUUUUUCCUCUGCCUUAUGGAACUGCAUCAAUCUAUCCUUCGUAUAUGAAUGGUGGAGUUGGUCUAAUGGGUACAGCGACUGGUGGGUUCAAUGGGAUUAUUGGAACUGGAGUUGAUGGGAAAUGGAAUCAGGUUCGUGGUGGCUUUGGAGAUCUGCCAGCAAAUGCCAUGCCACCUCAGAUUGAAGGGGUUAACUUCGGUAGUGAUCGUCCGGGUUUAAAAGAGCAAAGUGGUGGUGCUUCUAGUGAACAGGAACAGAAAGGUCUUGAUGGACAACUUAAACCUUUAGAUGCUUCUAGAUGAUUAUUUGGCUCUUUUGGAGCUUUGAAGGGUUAGUAAAUUCUUUAACUAAUGGGUUAGGGUAGUUUAACCAUCACUGUUCAGUAUCCUUUUUAGAUGUAAUCUGUGUCAUAAACAUGCUGCAUUGCUCUGUGUCGUAAACGUGCUGCACUGCUGUGUCGUCUUUAGUUUAUGAUUUGUCAGUACAAAAUUCAGCAUUCUGUAAUAUAACUGCAUUUAGAUUCAACUUCUCUUGUGCAUUUUACCUCUCUGUUAGGCAAUGUUAAUAAUGAAGCAAUACAGAAGCAUAUUUGGAUCUAAAAGGUUGCUUUCUCGGUCCUUUUUGGGCAUUGAUGUUGUUGUCAUCCCAUUGAUUUUUACCAAUUUCUCUCUCGAAUCUUCCCCCAACUCCAAACUCAAUCUAUUGGUUCUCUUGCUCAUAUGAUCAACAAGCACGCACAGGGAGAGACCCGCUUGUAGAAGAUAUAGCUGAAAGUCGAGUGGCUUUGCUUGCUGGUGGGGAUGUGUUUGCUCUGCUUAUGUUUUCUGCAAUUGGUAUAUACAAUCAUGGCCUCCCAAAUUUUUCAAUGGACAGGCUACGUAAAGCUGACUCUUUCAUGGCGGGAUGGUUUGAGUGCAUGCUUCCUUGGUGGCUAUGGCGAGGUUGGGCAAGGAGCCAAUGGUCUAUCCAAAGCCGUCACUGCUGCCGCCAAAUCUUAGGGUUUGGGAAUUCCUUUUAAGUUUUUUUCUUCUUUUUCCAAAUUUGAACUAUUCAUCUGAACGUAAGUUCAUAACAAUUAAAACAAUUUGUGGGGUUUAUUUGUAAGUUAAAAGUUGGGAGAGGGGGACUCAAACUUGAGACCUUUAAUAGGAGGUGAGGUAUGGUUACAUGAUUUCUUCAAUGAUUGUUUCUGUUAAGGUGUCAAAUGUUGUGCUUUUGCUGUCUCAUCAUACUGCUUAGAAGCCUUAGAAUUAAUAAGUUGAUCAUGUUGUUUUUGACUUGCCGCUACUAGUUACUUUAAAGUUACAUUCCACCCUUUUCUUUCUCUUUUCUAGUUGUUUUUUACAUACCUAGCUGACAACUUAUCUAUGUAAAUCAUAUCCCAUUCCU
Molecule: non-coding RNA, 2697 nt
Organism: Durio zibethinus
Lineage: Eukaryota; Viridiplantae; Streptophyta; Magnoliopsida; Malvales; Malvaceae
Source: RefSeq, a predicted model, not a curated record